RNAcentral lists this ribosomal RNA (433 nucleotides) under uncultured bacterium. RNAcentral describes it as "partial 16S ribosomal RNA". It matches the Rfam family "Bacterial small subunit ribosomal RNA", at positions 29 to 507 of the family's 1533-position model. The record is from RNAcentral.
AGCGAACGCUGGCGGCAGGCCUAACACAUGCAAGUCGAACGAACUCUUCGGAGUUAGUGGCGGACGGGUGAGUAACACGUGGGAACGUGCCUUUUGGUUCGGAAUAACUCAGGGAAACUUGUGCUAAUACCGAAUGUGCCCUUCGGGGGAAAGAUUUAUCGCCAUUAGAGCGGCCCGCGUCUGAUUAGCUAGUUGGUGAGGUAACGGCUCACCAAGGCGACGAUCAGUAGCUGGUCUGAGAGGAUGACCAGCCACACUGGGACUGAGACACGGCCCAGACUCCUACGGGAGGCAGCAGUAACGAAUCUUGCGCAAUGGGCGAAAGCCUGACGCAGCCAUGCCGCGUGAAUGAUGAAGGUCUUAGGAUUGUAAAAUUCUUUAACCGGGGACGAUAAUGACGGUACCCGGAGAAGAAGCCCCGGCUAACUUCGUG